AAGUCGAGCGACAGAUAAGGAGCUUGCUCCUUUGACGUUAGCGGCGGACGGGUGAGUAACACGUGGGUAACCUACCUAUAAGACUGGGAUAACUUCGGGAAACCGGAGCUAAUACCGGAUAACAUUUGGAACCGCAUGGUUCUAAAGUGAAAGAUGGUUUUGCUAUCACUUAUAGAUGGACCCGCGCCGUAUUAGCUAGUUGGUAAGGUAACGGCUUACCAAGGCAACGAUACGUAGCCGACCUGAGAGGGUGAUCGGCCACACUGGAACUGAGACACGGUCCAGACUCCUACGGGAGGCAGCAGUAGGGAAUCUUCCGCAAUGGGCGAAAGCCUGACGGAGCAACGCCGCGUGAGUGAUGAAGGGUUUCGGCUCGUAAAACUCUGUUAUUAGGGAAGAACAAACGUGUAAGUAACUGUGCACGUCUUGACGGUACCUAAUCAGAAAGCCACGGCUAACUACGUGCCAGCAGCCGCGGUAAUACGUAGGUGGCAAGCGUUAUCCGGAAUUAUUGGGCGUAAAGCGCGCGUAGGCGGUUUCUUAAGUCUGAUGUGAAAGCCCACGGCUCAACCGUGGAGGGUCAUUGGAAACUGGGAAACUUGAGUGCAGAAGAGGAAAGUGGAAUUCCAUGUGUAGCGGUGAAAUGCGCAGAGAUAUGGAGGAACACCAGUGGCGAAGGCGACUUUCUGGUCUGUAACUGACGCUGAUGUGCGAAAGCGUGGGGAUCAAACAGGAUUAGAUACCCUGGUAGUCCACGCCGUAAACGAUGAGUGCUAAGUGUUAGGGGGUUUCCGCCCCUUAGUGCUGCAGCUAACGCAUUAAGCACUCCGCCUGGGGAGUACGACCGCAAGGUUGAAACUCAAAGGAAUUGACGGGGACCCGCACAAGCGGUGGAGCAUGUGGUUUAAUUCGAAGCAACGCGAAGAACCUUACCAAAUCUUGACAUCCUUUGAAAACUCUAGAGAUAGAGCCUUCCCCUUCGGGGGACAAAGUGACAGGUGGUGCAUGGUUGUUGUCAGCUCGUGUCGUGAGAUGUUGGGUUAAGUCCCGCAACGAGCGCAACCCUUAAGCUUAGUUGCCAUCAUUAAGUUGGGCACUCUAGGUUGACUGCCGGUGACAAACCGGAGGAAGGUGGGGAUGACGUCAAAUCAUCAUGCCCCUUAUGAUUUGGGCUACACACGUGCUACAAUGGACAAUACAAAGGGCAGCUAAACCGCGAGGUCAUGCAAAUCCCAUAAAGUUGUUCUCAGUUCGGAUUGUAGUCUGCAACUCGACUACAUGAAGCUGGAAUCGCUAGUAAUCGUAGAUCAGCAUGCUAUCGGUGAAUACGUUCCCGGGUCUUGUACACACCGCCCGUCACACCACGAGAGUUUGUAACACCCGAAGCCGGUGGAGUAACCAUUUAUGGAGCUAGCCGUCG
RNAcentral lists this ribosomal RNA (1420 nucleotides) under Staphylococcus saprophyticus. RNAcentral's name for it is "bacterial SSU rRNA". It matches the Rfam family "Bacterial small subunit ribosomal RNA". The record is from RNAcentral. Lineage: Bacteria; Bacillati; Bacillota; Bacilli; Caryophanales; Staphylococcaceae.